AUAAUGAGAGGAGCCCAAUACUUUCUUUUUAGGGUUUCACCUCUCUUUCUCAUCAGUUUCUCACUCCCUCUCUCUCUCUCUCAUCAAUCGCUCACUCCCUCUCUCUCUCCUCUCCUCUCCUCUCCUCCCCGUCAUUCACCUCUCCUCUCCUUCCCUCCCAUCUCCAAUACUUGAGUAGCGAUUAUGUUCAUCUUGAGACAAGCAACUUGACCGGCGGCUUCAUAUAAGAGCUCCCAAGCGGCGUCGUUUUGGGCGGAGGUGUAACCGGCGGUGACAGAACUCUUGCUCAAAAACCCACUCCGGUUCGACUAGGGUCCGAACCCGGUUAGCGUCGAUAAUGGCGACGUUGAGAACAACCAAGCCCGUAGGCUUCUUCAUCUUUAGAUCUAAGUCAUUGAACGAACUGAUGCUAGAAGGAAAGAAAGCGAAAUUGACAUGGAAUAAUGUCAAGAAAGACAAGCUUGUGGUCUCCACUUCCUGCUCACUUCUUCACACUAUUGUUGAUCUUGUUAACGAGACUUAAAGCUUGAUGAUGAAAUCAAGUCAUGGCUUGCAUUUGCUGCACAGAAAGUUGUUGAAGUUAACGCUUUGGCCAAGGCAUUGUCUGGUUAGAAGGAUGAGGCAAGAGACUUGCUACCAAAUUGCUUUGGCCAUCAAGGAUGAGGUUAAGGAUCUUGAGAAGGCUGGUAUCAAUGUUAUCCAAAUUGACGAGGUUGCUUUGAGAGAAGGUUUGCCACUCAAGAAGUCUUAGCACGGUAGCUACUUGAAGUGGGUCGUCCACUCCUUCCAUAUCACCAAUGUUGGAGUCCAAGACCCAGAUUUCCCCAUUGCCCAGGAAUUUACACUAAUGAGCAAGUCGAAGCAAGGAAGAAAGUGGUUAAUGUUGUUCACACAAAGGGUGCAUUCAUCUUCUAUCAGUUGGUCGAGCCUCGCAUACAAAUUAACUAUUCACUCUAUAUAGUUAUAAAUUUUCAUGUUGUAUUAAGGACUAUUAUUUAUAUAGUAGCUUUUGACUCAUGUUAGGGAGUUGUUGUAAAAAUGUAUCUUUGAUUUUAUAAUUAAUUAAAUUUUACAUUUAUUAUUAUUGAAUAUUGAUAAUAGUAAUUAAAAUUUGGCAUCAUAAAA
Long non-coding RNA from Chenopodium quinoa (quinoa), 1125 nucleotides. RefSeq lists it as uncharacterized. The record is from RefSeq and is a predicted model, not a curated record. NCBI's taxonomy places the organism in Eukaryota, Viridiplantae, Streptophyta, Magnoliopsida, Caryophyllales, Amaranthaceae. The transcript has 5 exons.